UGUUGCAUUACUAUGGAGGAACAGAAAUUUGAUCAGAUUUGAGAAUAAGACUUUUGAUGAAGAUCAAUGUUGCAAGGAAGUAACACUGCUAUUACAUACAACGAAUAGGAAUCGAAAGAAGUGGAAGGAUAACUUGCAAAAUCUCAAUACAUUUCCUUAGUUGGUUGAGAAUUAGCUACUAGAAUUGCUAUGUAUAUGAUAUGAAUAGUUAGGAACCAGUUGUAACUAGAAGGAUAGGAAUGAGUAGUAGAAGUCCAUACUACUACAUUAGGAUUCAUUGUAUAUUUUUUUGAGAUCAC
Molecule: long non-coding RNA, 299 nt
Filed under: Nicotiana benthamiana
Lineage: Eukaryota; Viridiplantae; Streptophyta; Magnoliopsida; Solanales; Solanaceae
Description: long non-coding RNA (NBEN_LNC035235)
Source: RNAcentral